CCUUUACCUAAGCGAGAACAGCCGGAAUCCCAGGAAUGCCAUUUCAGAUCGUUCCCAGAUGGCACUGAGCAAGUCGUAAUGGGCUGCAGGAGUCGAGGGUCGUCUCAGGGACGAAACUCCGCACGAAUUGGUGUUGUAUCACACGUGAGAAUGGCUUUAUUUAUCCACUGGCAACUGGCUUAGAGAAAAAGAAUUUCAAAGAGUUAUUCAAGAAAAUCCAGAUCUUCAUUUUCAGAUAUGACCUGCAAAAUAUGUUUCAAGAGCCCAAGCAAACAGGAUGAUGGCUGUUGUGGUUGUCUGAGUCCCCUGAGAACUUUUGACUGCCUGCAUCUGCGCAGAAAUUUUUAAGUUUCUUCUGCUGCUUAGAUGUGUUUGCUCCUGCUUGAAAAAAAGGUCAUAAUAAACUUAAUCUUUCCUACUUAACUCUAUUUAAGAAAUUACAUGAAGGGACAGUCUUUUAUGAAAGUACCUACUAGCAAUGUAGGUCUC
This is a non-coding RNA of Sturnus vulgaris (Common starling), 489 nucleotides long. Lineage: Eukaryota; Metazoa; Chordata; Aves; Passeriformes; Sturnidae. The record is from RefSeq and is a predicted model, not a curated record.